GGGGAUAUAGCUCAGCUGGUAGAGGGCUUUCCUAGUAUGCACAAGGCCCUGGGUUCAAUCCCCAGUACCACCA
RNAcentral lists this transfer RNA (73 nucleotides) under Marmota monax (woodchuck). It matches the Rfam family "tRNA". From Rfam's summary of the family: Transfer RNA (tRNA) molecules are approximately 80 nucleotides in length. Their secondary structure includes four short double-helical elements and three loops (D, anti-codon, and T loops). Lineage: Eukaryota; Metazoa; Chordata; Mammalia; Rodentia; Sciuridae. RNAcentral also lists the same sequence under 1 other name. The record is from Rfam by way of RNAcentral.